This 486-nucleotide ribosomal RNA is filed under the name uncultured bacterium. RNAcentral describes it as "partial 16S ribosomal RNA". It matches the Rfam family "Bacterial small subunit ribosomal RNA", at positions 30 to 507 of the family's 1533-position model. The record is from RNAcentral.
AUUGAACGCUGGCGGCAUGCCUUACACAUGCAAGUCGAACGGCAGCACGGGUGCUUGCACCUGUUGGCGAGUGGCGAACGGGUGAGUAAUACAUCGGAACAUGUCCUGUAGUGGGGGAUAGCCCGGCGAAAGCCGGAUUAAUACCGCAUACGAUCUACGGAUGAAAGCGGGGGACCUUCGGGCCUCGCGCUGUUGGGUUGGCCGAUGGCGGAUUAGCUCGUUGGUGGGGUAAAGGCCUACCAAGGCGACGAUCAGUAGCUGGUCUGAGAGGACGACCAGCCACACUGGGGCUGGGACACGGCCCAGACUCCUACGGGAGGCAGCAGUGGGGAAUUUUGGACAAUGGGCGAAAGCCUGGUCCAGCAAUGCCGCGUGUGUGAAGAAGGCCUUCGGGUUGUAAAGCACUUUUGUCCGGAAAGAAAUCCUUGGCCCUAAUACGGUCGGGGGAUGACGGUACCGGAAGAAUAAGCACCGGCUAACUACGUG